UAAAUGAUUGGAAGGUUAGAACCAUGUGAUGAAAAACCUGCAAAACAAGAUAAAAUAGUGAGAAAGACAUGAGACAAAAACAAUAAAUUGAUAUAAAGUUUGGUGUUUAUAAGUUUAAAGAGAUUAGAGAGAUGUUGGAGAAUUUUAGAAUGAGGAACAUAAAUUUUUGUUGCAGCCAUUUGAGAGGAGGAGAGAGAAUGUGUAAAUUUUUCUUUAUAUAAGGAGACAAAAAUUCCAAUAAAAUUAAAUAUUUUUGAUUCAGAAGAUUUUCAAGUAAACCUUCUAAUAGAAAAAUUUCUAGACGACUUACUUGUAAGUCGCCCAGAAAACUUCAAUAUUUUUAGCGGAAAACUAAAAUAUUUAUAGCGGAAGUUAGAAGACUUUCGGUGAAGUCUUCUAAUCGCCAGAUCCACUACAAGAAAAUAAUGUUAUUGCAACUAUAAUUUUUGUCACAAUAUAUAGAUUUUUCGUCACAAUUUUUUUAUUGUGACUAAUGUGUGACAAAUUCAAAAAAGUCACAAUAAAAUGGUCACAAAUCAUGUUUUGUAUCAAAAUCGUCACACUUAUAGUGACGAUCUACUACGGAAGUAAAUUUGUUACUAAUUGUGACGAAAUAUAAAAGUCAAAAAAAUGACACAUUUUGUUACGGUUAAAAUGUAACAUAUACGUCACGAGCCGUGACAAAAAAAUUAGUGACAGAUUCGUUAGAAGUUCUUACCAAAUUUGUGUCACCCAUUAGUCACAAACCCCCGACCGAAAAAAGUCACAAAUCCGUCACGAAUGGUGACCAAAAGAUAGUAAUAAUAUUGUCACAAACUUUUAAUUUGUGACAUUUUGUUGAUACUACUAUAGUUCAUGAUUAUUAAUAAUCUGAAAACUGUUGCAAAUUAGUCAUAUAUUGUAACUACGUAAUUAUUUUUCAAAUAUCUAUAAUACAUACAAUGAAACACAUAAUAAAACGUUAAAUUACCACCAAAUAUAUACAAUAAGAACUAGCAUCCAAAUCAAAGAACAAAGUAGGUUUGCAAAUAUAACAACAAGAAAAAAGCCUUAACAAAAUACAUAAAUAAAAGAUACUAAGAACAUGUGGUGAACGUACUCCAUGGAAACUGGAUAGUGUUGGUGGUGGAUCCAGACAUAGAAAUUCAAACUUGUGAUUGACUGAACAAGCUUUUCCAUAUUUUCAAGUCUUUUUUUUCAAACUGCAGAUUUUCUUUACAGCUCUGUUUAAGCUCUGCUUCCACCUCUUGCAAUCUUUUUGUUAUUAUUUCCACUUCUUCGGAAGCAUGUGAUUCAUUCGAUGGAGCUUCAAUAGAUGGUAAAACCUUACUGUGUAGUGCUCCAAGUCCAAAGACAUGUCCUUGUUUAGAUGUUCCAGCAUCCUAAUAAAAAUAACAAACAUGCGAACAAAAACUAAAGCCAUGCAAAAUUGUAGUAAUAAUUAAUGAGUAGUAUAUUUACCACUAUGUACAUCACAAAAAAUCCAGGUGCAGUAGUGAGUAACAAACAAACCACAACCAAAAUGACUUGACACUUAAGAAACACAUAUCACUACUACUAUUUUAUAAUCGUACGUCAAUUAUAUAUUGUUUAUCAUUAAGGAUAAAUAAGAGAAAUAAUCAAUAAUAUAACUUUUUUUGAAACAUUAUUCAAACAUUACAGUAGUACAAGAGGUUAGAAUGUUACCUUGAUAAAAAUUUCGUUUUCCUCACACUGAUCAAGAUUCUCAGGUGUCACAUUCUGUAGACCAGAAGAUUCAAGUUGUCCCAGACGUUCUUCUAUAUGCUUUCCAUAAGUUUCUGCAACCAAUCGAGCUCGCUCAUCAACGUAAGUUCCGUCCGGUUUUUGAUGUGUUUUCUUCAUCACAGCAAUAAAAGAGAAGUCUUCGUUGUUUGCUUCCUACAAACAAUUAAAAAAUACAUCGAAAAUAAAUAAUACAAAAUUAUCAAGAGAAACUAAUAAUGGAAAUAUAAACAUUACCAGCACAUCCAACUUUGGCAUAUGAACAUAAACCAGCUCUAUGUUGAUGUAGAUCUAAACCAUUGCGAUUAGACAAUCGAGAAGCACGUGCACUAGCACUCGUCUUUUUUGGCUUUCGGUGAUCUCCCGUAAGAGCGUCCACCUAUUGUUGCUGGAGCCAUCUAGAAAACCAAUUUAUAAGGAUACGAUACGUUGGUACAGUUUUAGCGAGGAUACGAUACUUUGAUACAGUUUUAGCAAUUCAACUUCAAACCAACUUCUCAAAAUCCAACAUCAUGUAGAAAUUACCUUUCUAACUGAAGGCGACAGAUAAAGAAACAAAUAAGAGAAGAAAUCUUUUUUUUUUUUGUCAAAGGAUUACAAACUAGAAUUGAACCAUAAAGAGAGUACAAUGAUCUUUUCCAAUCCUAACACAGAAAUUAACAUUUUACCAAGAUCCAUUGCUAAUACCAUGCUAAGAAUAAUCCAAGCUUUUCUAAGGAUCGUCAAGAGGAAUUCACGCACAACAAAUGGUGAAGACGGGCAGCAACACUGAGGACGAUAACUUGAAAACAAAACAUGGCAUCGUCUGGAAAAGAUGAGUGAAUCUCCAUCUAGAACUGAUGCAGUCCAAAAUGACCUGGAAGAACUAUUUUGGAUUCUUUUCCUGCAAAACAUCGAUCAAAACCAUGUCUAGAGUAAAUUUUACUUCACACUGCUUGCUCUUCGGUUAUCCACAAUAGUGGCUUGAGUAGAACGCAACUAGAACAUGAAGAAGAAUCGUAGCCAGAAACAUGACAAUAUCCUUAAAAAGGAGAGGGAUCUACCAUACAGCAUAGUACGGAUUGAGAUAACACAGCCCAGAUAUAACAAGAGCACAUUUGACCAACACAUCUAAGAAAGCCGAGAACCAAGGAGAACAAAACAGGAACAAGGAUAACCAGAGGACAAGAGGGCUAGCCACGACCGUCGAUCGAACAGAUCCGGACCUCCAUCAUCACACCAGAGGGGAUCUGGUCAUGAUAAGAAGAAACAGCCUCAUCCGCUUCAAAAACGCUUUUCCACAACAACUUAUACCGAACAGAGACAGCUAUAGAAUCACACAAACAAAAGAGAGAGAGUAAAAAUUAGGCUUUUCCGGUGCUAAGAGAAGAAAUCUACAAAUAUAAUUUCGUUUUAAGAUUUGUUAGGGGCAGAAGUUAUCAAAUGCCUCAGGUACUUGUGUUUUUCUUGGGGUUAUAAUUGAGUUCGUGAAAUACUUGGCAACACUUAGAGCGCUAGAGUGAAAAAGUUAUGGCUCCACUUAAAAUUUUUAACGCGGUCUAUUAAAAAAAAAUUAGAAACACACUACCUGAUUUUAAGUCGUGGGUUAAUUGUAACAAAAAUAUUUACUUAUUUACAUUGAGUAAUUUUGACAAGGAAAAUACCCCUCAUUGGGAAGUGAUAGUCGGCUUGAUCUUUUGAAUGCACCAACGAUAAAAUAAAUUUUAUGGUCCCUUCGGGGACAUCCGAUAAAAUUGGAACGAUACAGAAAAGAUUAGCAUGGCCCCUGCGCAAGGAUGACACGUACAAAUCGAGAAAUGGUCCAAAUUUUUUACCCUUUUUCCAAAAAAAAAAAAAAAUUUAUGCCAAACUAAAUAAUUUGCGAGUGUUGGUUGAGUCAAGACUCCCUCUACUUCUCAACGGAGGGAUCUUUUCUUAAGCUAAUUACUUAGAGUAAUUGCACUCCACACACAAAGAAAACCUCAUAAUUGAGUGAAUACACAUUUGAUGUUUGCUUAGGAUUUGUCGAUUCUCAUAUGACCAAUAUACCCCUAUUCCAUAUCUGACCAUAACCUAAUAUUUGCAUGUAAUCUAAAUCUUUUUUUAAUUAUAUUUUUGAUAAACCAAAUUUAGACGAAAGCUUUUUGUGUCCGACAAGUUGAAACAUAAUAGUAUUUUAAAUUGUUUCCCUUGAUCUUUAAAUUCUAGACUAUUGUAAAGCCUUUUCACUACCUCUUUUAUAUUUAACUUUUGUAUUUUCAUCUCUUUCUAUCUUAAAUUCUUGAUUAAUUUCACGACUCCAUUCCUCCCAACCCAUUCCAUCGCUUUUAGUUCCUAUCUCUGCGAAUCCAAGUUCUUUCCUCCUUUUACCCAGUUCGAUACUUUUUAAUUGUUGUAUCAUACUACCGAUUCUCAACAGGUUUAAUGGAUUUUUUGUGGUGAAAUAACCUCUCCCGUUUUACUAUUUUUGACAGCACGACGGCGGUGAUCACGGUGGAGGAUAUCACGUUUUGAUGGUGGUUGUGGUUAAGGAUUGUCCAGAUGGUCUAUUGAGGUUGAACAUCAAGACGAAGAAGAAGAAAAUGAACAGAGGUUCUCCAAUUCAAGGGCCUGUUUUUGAAGAUCUAAAACGAUAAAAUCUUUGAGCUUUUUUGUUUAUUUGUUCAGUUUUCUCUAUAAGCACUUUGAGAUUCGAAAAGUGUGUGACAGUUGGUGAUGGAGCUGACAAUGUUUGUUGAUUUCUUAAACAAACUACACUUUCCCUAUGGUUAUCUCUCGCAAUCAUGUUUUUUUGUAUAAAAUACAUUUUUCAUC
Molecule: long non-coding RNA, 4536 nt
Organism: Brassica napus (rape)
Lineage: Eukaryota; Viridiplantae; Streptophyta; Magnoliopsida; Brassicales; Brassicaceae
Exons: 2
Source: RefSeq, a predicted model, not a curated record